This 311-nucleotide ribosomal RNA is filed under the name uncultured bacterium. Its description in RNAcentral is "bacterial SSU rRNA". It matches the Rfam family "Bacterial small subunit ribosomal RNA", at positions 30 to 339 of the family's 1533-position model. The record is from RNAcentral.
AUUGAACGCUGGCGGCAUGCCUUACACAUGCAAGUCGAACGGCAGCACGGGGGGUAACCCCUGGUGGCGAGUGGCGAACGGGUGAGUAAUACAUCGGAACGUAUCCUGUAGCGGGGGAUAACCUCUCGAAAGAGAGGCUAAUACCGCAUACGACCUACGGGUGAAAGAGGGGGAUCGCAAGACCUCUCACUAUAGGAGCGGCCGAUGUCGGAUUAGCUAGUUGGCGGGGUAACGGCCCACCAAGGCUACGACCCGUAGCUGGUCUGAGAGGACGACCAGCCACACUGGAACUGAGACACGGUCCAGACUCC